GCGGGGGUAGCCUAGCCAGGUCAGGCGCCAGCUUGAGGGGCUGGUCUCGAAGGAGUUCGGGGGUUCAAAUCCCCUCCCCCGCACCA
RNAcentral lists this transfer RNA (86 nucleotides) under Hadesarchaea archaeon. RNAcentral's name for it is "tRNA-Leu". It matches the Rfam family "tRNA". From Rfam's summary of the family: Transfer RNA (tRNA) molecules are approximately 80 nucleotides in length. RNAcentral also lists the same sequence under 2 other names. Lineage: Archaea; Methanobacteriati; Hadarchaeota (SeqCode); Hadarchaeia (SeqCode). The record is from RNAcentral.